GCCGGAGGUCAUUGCUAUUGGGGUCCGAUUUAGCCAUGCUAGUUGCACGAGUUCAUACUCGUGGCGAAAAGCUCAGUAACACGUGGCCAAACUACCCUACAGAGAACGAUAACCUCGGGAAACUGAGGCUAAUAGUUCAUACGGGAGUCAUGCUGGAAUGCCGACUCCCCGAAACGCUCAGGCGCUGUAGGAUGUGGCUGCGGCCGAUUAGGUAGACGGUGGGGUAACGGCCCACCGUGCCGAUAAUCGGUACGGGUUGUGAGAGCAAGAGCCCGGAGACGGAAUCUGAGACAAGAUUCCGGGCCCUACGGGGCGCAGCAGGCGCGAAACCUUUACACUGCACGCAAGUGCGAUAAGGGGACCCCAAGUGCGAGGGCAUAUAGUCCUCGCUUUUCUCGACUGUAAGGCGGUCGAGGAAUAAGAGCUGGGCAAGACCGAUACCAACAGCCGCGGUAAUACCGGCAGCUCAAGUGAUGACCGAUAUUAUUGGGCCUAAAGCGUCCGUAGCCGGCCACGAAGGUUCAUCGGGAAAUCCGCCAGCUCAACUGGCGGGCGUCCGGUGAAAACCACGUGGCUUGGGACCGGAAGGCUCGAGGGGUACGUCCGGGGUAGGAGUGAAAUCCCGUAAUCCUGGACGGACCACCGAUGGCGAAAGCACCUCGAGAAGACGGAUCCGACGGUGAGGGACGAAAGCUAGGGUCUCGAACCGGAUUAGAUACCCGGGUAGUCCUAGCUGUAAACGAUGCU
This 747-nucleotide ribosomal RNA is filed under the name Haloferax sp. BAB-3006. RNAcentral describes it as "bacterial SSU rRNA". It matches the Rfam family "Archaeal small subunit ribosomal RNA", at positions 16 to 764 of the family's 1478-position model. The record is from RNAcentral. Lineage: Archaea; Methanobacteriati; Methanobacteriota; Halobacteria; Halobacteriales; Haloferacaceae.